GCGAUCCACGAAACAUUACCCGGGCCGGGUAUUUCCCCUCCCAAUACUACUUAUUGAUUUACUUCUUUGCGGGGGCCUGCUUAAUUCUUAUCUACUGGAUACUCUACUCUGUACUUAAUUGUAUGGAGUAUCGCCUAGCCAGCGGAGUUGAGGUUAAUUAACUCCUGACUUUGUACCAAGGUGUAAAAUCCUGAAGUAUGAUUAUGGGGUCAAGUUAAUUGAUUAUAAUGGGGUGCCAGUUAAUUUACUUUGAGUAAAUUAAAGUGUUCAAAGCAGCCUCUUGGGGCUUUGAAUAUUUUAUCAUGGGAUAAUGAAAUAGGAUUGGAUUCCUAUUUGUUGGUUUAAUGAUUCCCCUAGUGAUUAAGACCGACGAUUAAGACCACCCCCAUUACGUGGUUAGAAAUGGAAUGUUUUCACCCUAUUAAAAUGAACAACUAACAAAAUCGUUUGCCACAGAUGUUAUCUUUAAUCAAAACCGAAACUUUAGGGGAUCUAACAUAAUUAAAUACCUACGUAA
RNAcentral lists this ribosomal RNA (517 nucleotides) under uncultured amoeba. Its description in RNAcentral is "partial small subunit ribosomal RNA". The stretch from base 111 to 473 matches the Rfam family "Eukaryotic small subunit ribosomal RNA", at positions 630 to 980 of the family's 1831-position model. The record is from RNAcentral.